CUGAGGAAAUGGUAAUUCUACAGUUGAUCCCUGAGGUGUCAAGUGUCCAGUUGCAGCCCAUGGAGAGCCAGUUCAAUUAUGAAUCUCGAGACCACCACCUUCUGUCAGAACUUCCCAAAGGAGAUCUGUGAGAAGAAGGAAGAUGGCAUCAUCUACUCCAUCUAUCCCAAGAAAGGGGCCAAGAAGCACUGGCACAAGCUCUGGUAUGUCUGUGGGUCGGACCAGGACCUGGAUGAAACCCGUGUGGUGCGGACUGUCAAGGCAGGCUCACUGGAGAAGCCGGCAGAGCACCUGGUGCCUGACUUCCUGGAGGGUGACUUGUCCUACAUAGACAUCUUCUUAUGCACCUACAGAACCUACACCACCACCCAGCAUGUCCUGGACCUGCUGUUCUGAAGGUCAGUGCCCUGCCCUGCACAGCACAGUAGGAACUCUGACACCUACUAGCUCUGAGUCUUAGGAAUAUCACUUCACCACUCUGAGCCUCAAUUUGCUCCUCUGAUAAGUGAAGUGGUAAUGGAUCAACCUGCUAGAAUUACUGUCAAGACACCAAGAGACAAGCCAUGGAAUGUAUGUUCUAGAAGUCUGGCUCUGCAAAAGGCUGCUAGAGAAGAUGGGAUAUUCACAUUUAUUAUAUUCUGCUCUCUCAUGAAGAAGCUCUUUGCCUCACCAUUCACUGAUCAUCUGCCCCUGGGCAAACCUAUAUCGCAUUUGUAAAGGAGUUUUGACAUUCCAUCUAGUAGGUCCCUGUCUUUGGUGAGGCCAGAAGAGGAAACGCUGGGGGCUGACAGACGAGGCCCAAGUCCACUGAGAUACUGGGGGAAGGUUCACUUGAGUUCACUCAUUCAACAAUUAUCUGUGAAGCCCCUACUGUUGCAGACAGAGUUCUAUGCACUUAGUAUCAUUCAGUGAGUAAAGCAGACAGGAAGCCAGACCCUCUGGGCCUCAAUUGUAGUUGGAGAGUCAGAAAGGAACAGCAGACAUCACAAGUGGGUAACGUCCACAGUGCAUUAGAUGUGACACCCUUAUAUGCCUCCUCUAAGUAUGGAUCCAACCACUCCCAUUCUGCUGGAGACAGCCGACCCCAAGACCAACUGAAAAAAGCGAGGGCCAGCACCAAUUUUAAAAGUAGCUCAAGAUCUGGCUUCACCUCCAGAAUUGUCUCUAGAACUACUUCCUGGGGUAGAACCAGCUCCUGCAGAGAUACCAGAGCUCCAUAGUAGACCAGCUCCACCACUGGUACCACAUGAAGAGUCUGCUGGAGGGCCAGAUUUUAAACCUGGGUUGGCUCCUAUACCACCUGCUGAUGUCAACCCUGUUCCUGCACCAACAUUGGAGCUCCAGAAAGCAUCAGUUAUUCCAAUAUCAGCUCCCUCACUAGCACCAGAACAGGAGCCUGCUGUAGGACUGGAUUCGCAUCCUGGGCCACCUCCAGAAUCAGCUCUCGUACCAUGUGCUAAUGUCCAUUCUGCACCUGCACCAACACCGGGGCUCAAUGUAGCACCAGGUCCACCAUCUCCUGCUCUGGCCCGGACACCAGAGGCUGAGCCAGUUGCCACACCUCCUCCACAGCAGCUCCUCAGGCAGAGCCAGGGAGCAUUAGCUACAGAAUCAGAUCUUUUCUGCCCUUUACUUAAGAUGGUAUUUUUUUGGUUUUGUUGUAUGUAGUAUUUUUCUAGGUCACUUUAUACUCUCUAGUUUACACUAUUUUAACUGCUAGAUUUCUCACAAAAUGAAGUUUUGUUUUAAUAGUUUUAAAACCUGUUGCCAUCAAGUCAAUACUGUAUCAUAGCAACCCCACAGGACAGAGUAUAACUGCCUCAUAGGGUUUCCAAAGCUGUAAAUCUUUACUGAAACAGACUGCCACACCUUUCUCCCAAGAAACAGCUGGUGGGUUCAAGAGUGGACAUUUAGGUUAGUAAUCGAGGGCUUAACCCAAUAGUUCUAAAGUGUGUAAUAUACUGACUUUAAGUACUUUCACGUUCCUAUUUAACUACCACCAGUAUCUACUUCCAGAACAUUGUCAUCACACAAACAGAAGCCCUGUCCUCAAGAAGCAGUCCUCCAGAUGCCCCUCCCUAGCCUAGGGCAACCAGUGAUGGGCUUUUGGCUUCUAUGGGUUUAUCUAUUCAGGAUUUCUUACCUAAAUGCAAAUACCUAGCUUCUUUCACUUACCUUAAUGUCUUGCAGGUUCAUCCAUGCUUUAACCCACAUCAGUAUCUAAUUCCUGUUAACACUUAUUGGUAUUCCAUUGUAUGGAUGGACCAGACUUUGCUCAUCCAUUCAUCUCUUGGUGGACAUUUGAGUUGUGUCCACCUUUUGAAUGAUGAGAGUAGUACUUCUGUGACUGUUCAUGGGCGGUUAUUUACGCGAGUGCCUGUCUUCAUGAUAAAUCCCAGGGUUGGGUAGGGAGGAGGGAAAGGUGAGGACACAGUCCAAGUGUGGGGAGUGGAGUUGGGAGGGAUCAAGAGGCAGAAAAACCGUUGGAUGUGAGGAGGUGGGAGAGCCCUGGAGAACUCCUAAAUGUAGGUGACAAGGAGACAGUAGGGGUCUGGAGGCAACAUUGGUGUGGUGAGUGAGUAGGUAGGAGAGGGGUUAGACCCACUACAGGAAGCAGGACUUCCAACAAGUUCUUUCUAGUUCCAACCCCUGCUGACAAUUUGCUUUCCCCCCCAGAUAUACUGAAUCAGAAUCUACAUUUGCACAAGAUUCCCAGGUGAUUUUUAUGUAUAAUAAAUUUGAGAACCCAUGCACUAUGGAUGGUUCCCAGAACUGGGCCCUAACCAGCAGCAUUAGCAUCACCUGUGAACUUGUUAAAAAUGCAAAUUCUCAUCAGGGGUUCAAACGUGAUGGGCCUGGUUCAAAGCCCUGACGGGAAAUGAGAGGGUUGAAUGGGCCAGGACACCACCAUCAGGUGUGGUAAUGGAGAGGUAGGAGGGGUCAGGUGGUGGCCCAGUAAUGGUAAGGGAAGAGGGUGUAGGAGUGAGGAGGAGGGACAGCCCACAAGAAGACACAGUUGUGGGAGGAAAUGGAAGGGAGCAGUGUGUCAGUGAGUGCACAGGUGUGGCCAAUGAGGAAACCACACAGGUGUCAGGAAUAAGGCAAAAGGAGGAUCAGUAGAAGGCACAGGUGUAGGGAGUGAUGAGGUGGGCUGGGUGAGUGGAAGUCAAGAUAUGGUUGUUGAGGAGGGAGGAGGGGUCAGGAGGCAGUCCACAUAUGGGAAGUGAGAAGGUGGAGGGGUCAUAAGACAGCAAAAGUCUGCAGAGGUGGAAAGUGUGAGGAGAAGGCACAGGUGUGGUCAGUGAGUAGGUGGUGGAGACCCCCGGCAAUCCAUGUAGGGGAGGUGAGGGAGGGGUGUGGGGUGGAGGACAGGUAAAAGACAGGUGUGUCAAAUGAGAAGGUGGGGGGAGUCAGGAGGUAAAGCCACUUGGGAAGUGAGGAGGUAGGAGGGUUUAGGUAUCAGCAUGGAGAAGGUGGGCAGGGCUAGGAGAAGGCCUAGGACUGAGUAGUUAGGAGGCUUGAUGGGCCACCCAACCUUAGGUUUUAAGAAGGAAAAAGGGGUCAGGAGACAGCUAGGUGAUGGUACUCAGGAGGUGGUCUGGGUGAGGAGAAGGCACAGGUGUGAAGGGUAAGCAUGUGGGCAGGGAUAGGAUGUCACAGAGCUGCUAGUAAUGAGGGGUAGGAGGGCUUAGGAAGCAGCCAGUUUUGGAAAAUGAGGACUUGGCAGGGGUCAGAAGUCCAGGUAUGUGAAGAGAGCAGGUCUGAAGGGUCAAAAUGUCCCUCAAGAACGGGAACUGAGGAUGUGGGAGGGGCCAGGUGGCAGCCCAGUUAUUGGGAGGAGGUUGCAGUGGCCAAGAGAAUGCCCAGGUCUCAGGAAUGAGGAGGUGGGAGGAGUCAGGAGAUAGCCUGGAUGUGGGUACUAAGGAAUUGGGCAGGGUCAUUCAUUUGUGUUACAGAGGUGAGAAGGGCUAGGUGAAGGCAGAGCCUUAGGGUUAAUGAGGUAAGAGGGCUAAGGAGAAGGCACAGGUGAGGCCAAAAAACAGAUGGUAAAGACCAGGAGGUAGCAAAGGUGUGGAGAAUGAGGAGGUCCAAAGUGUCAGGAGUCCGACCAGGUGUGGGUACUGCAGCAGGUGAAAGGGUGGAAGCAGCCCUUCGAGGGAAGUGAGGAGGGGAGACCAGCAGGAGAACACGCAGUAGCAGGUGAUUAGGAGGUUGGACGGGUCAGGAGCUGGCCCAGUAGGAGGUGUAGGGCCCUGAGCAUGCCCAGGGGUGGGGUUAAAAGGUGGAAGGAGCCAGGAGAUGCCCAGGUGUGGGGAGUGAGAAGGUAGGCAGGUUCUCUUGCUCCCACCCUCCACCCCCCACCCAGGUGACCAGCCAGGACAAGGCUCUGCAAGGCCAGGGAAGGGACAGUGUAGAAGAGGUGAGCCUGAGGACCAGGAGCUGGUGCAGGUGACCUCAGAGGCUAGAAGUGAUGAAGGGCAAGAAGGACAAGGGCCAUGAGUAGGCAGUGGGUCUCAGCUGCAUGCUGUCAGCCCUCUGUCCCUGAACUCGUGCCCCGUGAUCCUAACCUGCCCAGAUAGCCCUGGAGGCAGCAUUUCCUCAUGCCCUCAGUGGCCACUGACCACCCACGUGUGCCAUCUCCAGGCUUAGCUAAGAGUGGGCACCAGGCUUAGAGGUAGUUUCAUCGAGGGGGCCAAGAGGGAGGGCUUUUCUGCUGGGGCAAUGUGAUAAUGGGGUCUGAACCUAGGCUCAGCUGGAUGUGGGGGAAGCCCUCAUAUCAAAAUGGGAAUCAUGUGCCUCUGGAAACUGGGGACUGCUGGAACUGAGCCAUCACACUUUAGGACCCAUGUGUCCAGCAUACCAGAACCAGAAAUCUCCUUGAUCCCCCGGAGGUCCCGGAAGCCAACACCAUAUUCUGGAAACUGGGAAAGGGGACAACUCAAGAACAAGCACAGACUUGAAGCCAUGUUCCUCAAGGCCUCUGGGCCUGUCUCCUCGCCCCCACAGUUGAGAGAAAAUAUCAGUGGGUUAAUUCACACACACAUACACACACACACAUGCACAUACACACACAUCUAAGUGUGAAUGCUGUGUAUGCCAUAAAGAUUAACUAUAAACAUCGUCAUCACUGUCCUCGCCCAUUGGUGAGCUGACCAUCAACUCCCAGCCACUAGCCCAGACAAUUAGGGAUGGCCCCAGGUACCUAGAAGCUGAUCUCUGAGCCCUCUCUCAUUCUCCUGCACCACUUAGUGAGUUGGUCAGGGUAGGUGGUAUCUACAUUGUACUGAAAAGGAAGACUGAGGCCCAGGAACUAAGGUUCAGAAACUAGGAAAAGAGGCACAGGAUGAGCAGGAGCAGGAAUCCCAGCCUAGUAUUUAUCUAUAGUAGGCUCUAUGCCAGAGAGGACUAGAAGGAAAUAGGAGCAAAGAGUAAGUACUGCUGGGUGCUGGGACUUGAGGGCCUGGGAGCCUCCCAGACGCAGUGCUGAGGCAUGGGACGAGGUGGCCCUUGGCUGAGCUUCCGAGGCCUUGUCCUGAGUGGUGUAUAAUGGGAAGAUUGUCCGGGUUCUGAAUGGCCUGUUCAGCUCUGUGGUCCUUCUGUGCAGGCAGCAGGGCGGAGGACAGGAUGACCCUCUGACAGCUAGGUUUAAAGGAGCCUUGGAGUCAAGGCUGCUUUGUGAACAAGAGCUUCGGGGUUUAAUUAGGGCUCCUGCAUAAUCGUUCCUACGGGAAGGUGUAAUGUGGAGGGUCCUUGGUGAUCCUGGAACUGGAAUGAGGGUCUCAGGACUCUGGCUCAGGCCUGCCAUCGUGGCAAGCACAUGAAUUUUGGGGGGCCAAAGGAUGGAAUUUUUUUUUUUUUUUUAAAGGAUGGAAUGUUAUGGAUUGGAUUAUGUCCCCCAAAAAUGUAUGUCAACUUGGCUAGGCCAUGAUUCCCAGUACUGUGUAACUGUUGACAUCCGAUGUGAUUUUCCUGUGUUGUAAAUCCUACCUCUAUGAUGUUAAUGAGGAGAGAUUACUCUCAGUUAUGUUGAUGAGGCAGGAUUCAAUCUUCAAGAUUAGGUUGUGUCUUAAGUCAAUCUCUUUUGAGAUAUAAGAGAAAAGCAAACAGAGAGACAUGGAGACCUUAUACCUCCAACAAACAAGAGCCAGGAAAAUAGCAUGUCCUUUGGGCCUGGGGUCCCUGCAAUGAGAAGCUCCUUGACCAGGGAAGACUGAUGACAAGGGCCUUCCUCCAGAGCCAACAGAGAGAAAAAAACCUUUUUUGGACUUCUAGCCUCCUAAACAAAGAGAAUAAAUUUCUUUGUUAAAGGCAUCCACUUGUGGUAUUUCUGUUACAGCAGCACUAGAUAACUAAGACAGUCAGCAUGUUCAAAUCCACCAGCUGCUCCCUGGAAACCCCAUGGGGCAGUUCUACUCUGUCCUAUAGGGUCUCAAUGAGUUGGAAUCAACUCGGUAGCAAAGAGUUUGGUUUGGUUUUUGAUAAUAUAAAUAGUUGGCUUUAGCGUAUUACUUUAUGUUAUGGAUUGAAUUGUGUCCCCCCAAAUGUGUGUUAACUUGGCUACGCCAUGAUUCCUAGGAGUGUGUGAUUAUCCACAGUUUUGACAUCUGAUAUGAUUUUCCUAUGUGUUGUGAAUCCUACCUCCAUGAUGUUAAUGAGGCAGGAUUAGAGGCAGUUUUUUUUUUAUCUUAAUGAGGCAGGACUCAAUCUACAAGAUUAGGGUCUAUAUUCAAUCAAUCUCUUUUGAUAUAUAAAAGAGAGAAGCAAGCAGAGAGACAGGAGGAGUUCACACCACCAAGAAAGCUGCACCAGGAGUGAAGCGCGUCCUUUAAACCUGGGGUUCCUGCAUUGAGAAGAUCUUAGACCAGGGAAAGACUGAUGACAAGGACCUUGCCCCAAAAUCUGUAGAAAGUUUUGUCCUAGGGCAGAUGCCCUGAAUUUGGACUCCUAGCCUCCUAGACUGUGAGAGAAUAAAUUUCUCUUUAUUAAAGCCAUCCACUUGUGGCAUUUCUGUUAUAGCAGCAUUAGAUAAUGAAGACACUCUAAUAAACUCAUUUACAACUAUUAAUAACUUUGUUGAGAUACCUUCGGAUUUUCUAUGUACAUGAGUGUGUAAUCUAUAAAUAGCUUUACUUCUUUCUAAUUUGUAUUUCUCUGUUAUUUUUAAUGUUUUAUUACAUUGAUUAGAAAUGUCAGUACAGUGUUGAAUAAAAGUGGUAAGAGUAGACAUUCUUGCCUUGCUCCCUUAUUUCUAUGGGAAAAGCAUUCAGUAUUUGAACCAUUAAGUACGAUGUUAGGUGUAGGUUUUUCUUAGCUUUUUAUUGGAGUAGUUAGGUCAAUUUAUAUGCAGCAUAAUAACCGAUAUGUUUGGAUGUAAAUCUACCAUCUUCUUGUUUCUAUUAAGUCUCUCCUAUACAUCUAGCGGGACCCUGGUUGAGAAAGGCUACUUAGAGAUUACAAUAUACACAUUUGAUUUACUACAAUUUAUCUUAAUAUAGCAUUUCUUGGACAAUCCAAAGCCUUUAUGAUACUGAAUUCUAUUUACCUCCUCCUCUUGUGCAAUUUUUCCAUGUACUUUAUUCCACAUGUAUUUAAAACUCCACUAGGUAUUUUUAUUGCCUUAAUCAGUUAGUACACAUUUAGAUUUACCCACAUACGGGUAGUCCUCGAGUUAUGACAUAUCUGAGUUACAACGAACUGCACUUACAAUAGCCCCUUUUUUUUUGUACAUCUUAUCAUUAGUAAUAUGUACUACAUACAGCGUUACAGUGUGUCGUUUGCUGAUGUUAUCAUUCUCAUGCCAACCCCCAAAGACAAAUAAAAAUCAAAUUUAUAAAGAUACUGAUAACUGGGAGUUAGAAGCUGGCGAAAAGGACACGAAAAGAGAGAGUGGAGGGAGAGAGCAGGCUGUCUCAUUGGGGGGAGAGUAAUUGGGAGUGUGUAGCAAGGUGUAUAUGGGUUUUUGGGUGAGAGACUGACUUAAUUUGUAAACUUUCACUUAAAGCACAAUAAAAAUUAUUAAAAAAAAAAGAUACUGAUAACAAAAGGCAGUAAUAAUGAAAACCAAAAAAAAUGAGGUAUUCAGAACCAACUUACAAGGAAUCACCAGAACAGAGCCCCGUUGUAAGCUGUGGACUGCCUGUACUUUACAUUUUCCAAUGCUCUUCAUUCCUACAUUUUGCUUCCAUCUGGAAAUUUUUUUCUUCUUCUUCUUUCCCUCCUCCUCCUCCUCCUCUUUCUUCUUGAAUUCCCCUUAGUAUUUUUUUCAGUGCAGGCCUGUUGGUAAGAACCUUUCUCAGUGUUUUCAUCUGGAAAUAUCUUUGACUUUUCUUAGACGCAUUUUCUCUUGUUACGGAAUUCUAGGUUGACAUAUUUUCAUUCAGCAAUUUAAAGGUGGCAUUCUGUUUUGUCUUCUGGUUUCCACUGUUUCUAUUGAAGUUAGUGGAUGAGAGAUAAUUCUCCAUGACUCUUUUGUGUUUCUGUACAUCUUGCAAACAGAGAAACUAAUUGCCUUUCUUCUGGACUGUUGGACAUUAUAUGGCCAAUGGCCUUUGAAUAUAGUGAUAGUGUCUCGGCUGAAGUGGAGAACAGGUAUGCUUACUGCCCGUUAUAAAAGACUUUGAUCUACUAAGCUCAGGGAUCCACUCCUGUAAUUCAACCCACUGAAUGUGUCACCCUGUGGGAACUGGCACACGGGAACCAGUGCAAAUGCUGAUAUUCUGUCUACUGCAAUUGCUGUUAACAAGCUCUUCUUUGUCUCUCACCUAGGAGUGUCUAGUCUUCUUCCAGCAGCCAUGAAUCAUAGUAGGCUGACAUGUCAGCUUGCAAGUAGGAUAAAAUCUCAGAUUUUUCAUAGUUCUUCACAGUUUAUGUGACAAGGAUGAGAUACUGACAGAGACAUGGCUUUCUGGAAAAGGAAGUAUGAGGGCCUCACAGCCUGAAUAAUAGGAUUUGAGGAGGAAGUCCAUGGGAAUUUGUAGUGAACAUGUUGACCAAAUUGUAUGGUCAAAGGCAAGGUCAUGGAAACUUCACAGACACAUCCAAACUCCCUCAGGACCGAAUUACUGGGCUGAGGGCUGGGGACCAUGGUCUCAGGGUACAUCUAGCUCAAUUGGCCUGACAUAGUUUAUAAAGAAAAUGUUCUACAUCCUACUUUGUUGAGCAGCGUCUGGGGUCUUAAAGGCUUGUGAGCAGCCAUCUAUGAUAAUCCACUGGUCCCACUCCGUCUAGAGCAAUGGAGAAUGAAGAAAACCAAAGACAUAAGAGAAAGAUUAGUCCAAAGGACUAAUGGACCACAACUACCACAGCCUCCACCAGACUGAGUCUAGCACAACUAGAUGGUGCCCGGCUACCAUCACCAAUUGCUCCGACAGGGAUCACAACAGAGGGUCCUGGGCAGAGCUGGAGAAAAAUGUGGAACAAAAUUCAAACUCACAAAAAAAGACCAGAGUUACUGGUCUCACUGAGACUGGAAAAGCCCAAAGAGUAUGGCCUCCAGACAUUUUUUUAACUCAAUAUUGAAGUCACUCCUGAGGUUCACCCUUCAGGCAAAGUUUAGACAGCACCAUAAAACAAACGAGACUAAAUGGACACACCAGCUCGGGGGCAAAGACAAGGGUGUAAGACAGGAAAGUUGGUAACAGGGAACCCAAGGUCAAGACGGGGAAAGUGUAGACAUGUCAUGGGGUUGGCAAUCAAUGUCACAAAACAGUAUUGUACUAAUUAAUGAGAAAGUAACUUGUUCUGUAAAUCUUCAUCUAAAGUACAAUUUAAAAAAAAAAAACUGUAUGGUCAACUGGGCAAUAAAUGUUUCUCUAUUUUAUUGCCUGUUAACGAGGAGGAAUUGGGGAAGUGGUUGUAGGCCAAGUCCAGGAAGUAAGUUCAAAAAGACAGCUGCCCAAAUUGUUCCCUGAUCAUGGAUAACUUUCCUCCAAGGGGCCUUCCUCACCAAUUCAGUGGUCAGCCUCAGGUUAACCUCAUUGUAACUAGUAUUAAGAUAAAUCUUGUGUGGACAGGUUUCACGGCCUUUCAGACGAUAGAGACAUGUAUCCACACUGAGCAUGAAAAGAGGGAAAUCUGUGAUCGCCAUGGGCAGAGGCCAAGAAAAUUGUUAGAAUUCUGGCUGGCUUUUUUUCUUGGGUGAGGUGCCUAAUGCUUAAGAAAGAAUGGAAACAGCUAAGCUGUCUUACUACUCAGCCCCUUCUGCAGUCUAUGAUGCCAAUCUUCGAUUACUUGGAAAUAACAGUAAAAGACCUGAAAGUUUUUUUGUAUCGGGUCCAAGCUCUGUGGUCUAGUUUUUGACACUACAAGUUGUCAUAUACAAAUAUAUACUUUUAUUAAUUCAAGGAGCCCUGGUGAUGCAGUGGUUAAGUGCUCAGUGCUAACCAGGAAGUCAGUGGUUCGAACUCACCAGCUGCUCUGUGGGAGAAAGAUGAGCAGUCUGCUGCUGCAAAUAUUUACAGCUUUGGAAGCCCUAUGGGGCAGCUAGCUCUACUCUGUCCUAUAGAGUCACUAUGAGUCAGAAUCGACUCAACAGCAGUGGGUUUGGUUUGGGGUUUUUAUUCCUCAACAAUUUUAUUUACUUUGGUAUAUAUAUAUAUUUUAAUGGAUAAUAUAUAGACAGAUGAUAAAAAUAAUUCAAACCUUAUGAGAGUAUAUGCAGUAAAAAGUUUCUAUUCCUCACACUUCUAGUCAUCUGACUCCUAGUUCAAUACCAGAAUAGCACAGCAUGUUUACACACAGGAAAUUUAAAGACAGAUAAGUAGCAUUAGCGUAAGGUAGGACUCCUCAACUGUGAGGGGAUGACUGUGGUAUCAGAAUGAAAACCAGUUAAGAUAUGGAGGGAAUUUAAGUUUUCCAUAAAACUUUCUAAUGUAACAUCUCUGAUACACAAUAAUUAAGUUGGGUUCACUAAAGGUUUGAGGUUAUACAGCACUAAUACAGUUCCUAUUGAGUUCUGACUGAAUACCUCCCCACACUGAUUUUUCCAGUAUCUAAGGUUCUGCAUUAAUACUAUUACACAUUUCUUACAAUGAUAAAAAUUUUCCUAUUGUGAAUUUGUUUCAGUGAAAGACUAGAGCUUUUCUUACAUAAUAAUUACAGCAAAUAUAGGAAUUUUUUCCAUUGUUAUUGACAUUGUGUAAAAUGUUUAUUUACAUAGAAGGUUUCCCCACAAUUUUCAGUUAAUGUUGUCUGCCUUCUGAAUUAGACUUUCAUCAUGAAAAUUACUGUUUUCUCCCCAGUGUGUUUUUUGUUUUUUAGUGUAAUACAAGAGUUGAGCAUUGAUUAAAGUCUUUUUCAUAAUCAUCAAUAUCAUUCAUAGUAAUUUUUU
RNA transcript from Loxodonta africana (African savanna elephant), 11329 nucleotides. It is a transcript of the gene named ral guanine nucleotide dissociation stimulator-like, with no coding region annotated. The record is from RefSeq and is a predicted model, not a curated record. The transcript has 4 exons. NCBI's taxonomy places the organism in Eukaryota, Metazoa, Chordata, Mammalia, Proboscidea, Elephantidae.